This 103-nucleotide microRNA precursor is filed under the name Marmota monax (woodchuck). Lineage: Eukaryota; Metazoa; Chordata; Mammalia; Rodentia; Sciuridae. The record is from RNAcentral.
AGUUGGAUAGCUGAGUCAAAUGGUGGUUCCAUUCCCAGUUUUCCAAGGAAUCUCCAUACUUCUUUCCAGAGUGGUUGUGCCAAUUUGCAGUCCCACCAGCAGU